This is a small nuclear RNA of Xenopus tropicalis (tropical clawed frog), 94 nucleotides long. Its record names the gene U2. It matches the Rfam family "U2 spliceosomal RNA". Rfam says of the family: U2 is a small nuclear RNA (snRNA) component of the spliceosome (involved in pre-mRNA splicing). Complementary binding between U2 snRNA (in an area lying towards the 5' end but 3' to hairpin I) and the branchpoint sequence (BPS) of the intron results the bulging out of an unpaired adenosine, on the BPS, which initiates a nucleophilic attack at the intronic 5' splice site, thus starting the first of two transesterification reactions that mediate splicing. The record is from Ensembl. NCBI's taxonomy places the organism in Eukaryota, Metazoa, Chordata, Amphibia, Anura, Pipidae.
AUAUCUAUUCUACCUUGUUAAGAUCAAGUGUAGUAUCUGUUCUUAUCAGUUUCAGAUCAGAUAAUUGCUACUUGUGAUGAAGUGGGGAGCUUGA